This 957-nucleotide long non-coding RNA is filed under the name Marmota monax (woodchuck). Lineage: Eukaryota; Metazoa; Chordata; Mammalia; Rodentia; Sciuridae. The record is from RNAcentral.
AGAAUGCACUGCGGUUUGCUGAGGAGGCACCGAGGAAGGCCACUGACCCCUGGACAGCUGGGUGUUGAAGUGGCUGCCAUCCCCUGGUGGCAGCUGGGCGCUGAAGUGGCUGCUCCCUUCUGGGGCCAAAUGUUGGAUAGACUGUGGACUGCAAGAACCUGGAGGAGGAAGCGCCCCAGAACCUGAAGAGAAAUCCCCUGCAGAAGGGUCCCUCCAACCUCUUCCCCUAACAAUGGUUAACAGUGCACGGAGGGGCAAAGGAGAAAGGCGUGUGUGGCUCCAUUUAUAGAACCAUAGGAGGCGGACUAGAGGUGAGAGGCAAAGGAUGGGUAAUGGACACGAAUCGUGACAUCGUAUGGGGAACGAGAGCUCAAGCCACAGCACUGUGGCUCAGCACACAUAGGACGUCAAGCAGGUCCUGUGGGGACAGGUGCACGGAGUACUGCAUACGUGGCAUACAAUAAGGGCGUCUGAGUGGCAGGCCACUCCCCUGGGCUAGGCAUGUGAGCAGCAGGCCGCUUACCCCGUGGGCACAGCCCUGGGCGUGAGGCCAUGAGUUGCAGUCCUGAGCUUGCUCCACAGCCUGCUCCUUGAUUGAUCCCCGCAAGAACAGUUAGCAGAAAUUGCACUGGUGGCUGCCUGUAGUCUGCUCAGCUACUGCCUGAGUAUAUAUACAUGGUAGCUGCGCAAUAAAAUCAGACUGCUUCCUGCUUGGUCUCUGGAGGAUUAGCGACUCUGCAGCCACGCUGUGCUCUACCCUGUUCUGUGGACUUCCUCACUGGACAAGAGAAAGCCCAUGCAAAGUCUCACUCUCUGAGUCUCAACUUCCAGGGCUACAUAGUAGAGAGGCUUUUGAACGUUUGCAACACAAAGAAGGGAUAAAUGUCUGAGGUGGUAGAUCUGUCAAUGACUGAUAUGAUGACACAUGUAUGCAUGCACGCCACCAUUAUGAUUAUG